CCUACGGGCGGCAGCAGUGGGGGAUAUUGCACAAUGGGGGGAACCCUGAUGCAGCGACGCCGCGUGGGUGAAGGAGCGUUUCGGCGCGUAAAGCUCUAUCAGCAGGGAAGAAAAUGACGGUACCUGACUAAGAAGCCCCGGCUAACUACGUGCCAGCGGCCGCGGUAAUACGUAGGGGGCAAGCGUUAUCCGGAUUUACUGGGUUUAAAGGGAGCGUAGACGGUCCUGCAAGCCAGAUGUGAAAGCCCGGGGCUAAACCCCGGGACUGCAUUUGGAACUGUAAGGCUAGAGUGUCGGAGAGGCAGGCGGAAUUCCUGGUGUAGCGGUGAAAUGCGUAGAUAUUAGGAGGAACACCAGUGGCGAAGGCGGCCUGCUGGACGAUGACUGACGUUGAGGCUCGAAAGCGUGGGGAGCAAACAGGAUUAGAUACCCGAGUAGUC
RNAcentral lists this ribosomal RNA (440 nucleotides) under uncultured bacterium. Its description in RNAcentral is "partial 16S ribosomal RNA". It matches the Rfam family "Bacterial small subunit ribosomal RNA", at positions 338 to 795 of the family's 1533-position model. The record is from RNAcentral.